Molecule: small RNA, 107 nt
Filed under: Marmota monax (woodchuck)
Lineage: Eukaryota; Metazoa; Chordata; Mammalia; Rodentia; Sciuridae
Source: RNAcentral
GCUGGGCACAGUGGUGCAUGCUUGUAAUCCCAGUGCUUUGGGAGGCAGAGGCAGGGGAAUUAGAAGUUGGAAGCCAGCCUCAGUAAUUUAAUGAGAUCCUGUCUUUA